RNAcentral lists this ribosomal RNA (492 nucleotides) under uncultured bacterium. Its description in RNAcentral is "partial 16S ribosomal RNA". It matches the Rfam family "Bacterial small subunit ribosomal RNA", at positions 29 to 507 of the family's 1533-position model. The record is from RNAcentral.
AGUGAACGCUGGCGGUAGGCCCAACACAUGCAAGUCGAACGGCAGCACAGUAAGAGCUUGCUCUUACGGGUGGCGAGUGGCGGACGGGUGAGGAAUACAUCGGAAUCUACUUUUUCGUGGGGGAUGACGUAGGGAAACUUACGCUAAUACCGCAUACGACCUACGGGUGAAAGCAGGGGAUCUUCGGACCUUGCGCGAUUGAAUGAGCCGAUGUCGGAUUAGCUAGUUGGCGGGGUAAAGGCCCACCAAGGCGACGAUCCGUAGCUGGUCUGAGAGGAUGAUCAGCCACACUGGAACUGAGACACGGUCCAGACUCCUACGGGAGGCAGCAGUGGGGAAUAUUGGACAAUGGGCGCAAGCCUGAUCCAGCCAUACCGCGUGGGUGAAGAAGGCCUUCGGGUUGUAAAGCCCUUUUGUUGGGAAAGAAAAGCAGCAGGUUAAUACCCCGCUGUUCUGACGGUACCCAAAGAAUAAGCACCGGCUAACUUCGUG